UUGACCUCAAAUCGGGUGAGACUACCCGCUGAACUUAAGCAUAUCAAUAAGCGGAGGAAAAGAAACUAACAAGGAUUCCCCUAGUAACUGCGAGUGAAGCGGGAAAAGCUCAAAUUUAAAAUCUGGUGGCCUUUGGUCAUCCGAGUUGUAAUUUAGAGAAGCGUCUUCCGCGCUGGACCGUGCACAAGUCUCCUGGAAUGGAGCGUCAUAGAGGGUGAGAAUCCCGUCUUUGGCACGGAUCCCGGUGCUUCUGUGAUGCGCUCUCGAAGAGUCGAGUUGUUUGGGAAUGCAGCUCAAAAUGGGUGGUGAACUCCAUCUAAAGCUAAAUAUUGGCGAGAGACCGAUAGCGAACAAGUACCGUGAGGGAAAGAUGAAAAGCACUUUGGAAAGAGAGUGAAACAGUACGUGAAAUUGUUGAAAGGGAAACGCUUGAAGUCAGUCGCGUCGUCCGAGACUCAGCCUCGCCUCGGCUUGGUGUACUUCUCGACCGACGGGUCAGCAUCAAUUUCACCCCUUGGAUAAUGGCGAGGGAAAUGUGGCACCUUUGCGGGUGCGUUAUAGUCCCUCGUCGCAUGCAAGGGUCGGGAUUGAGGAACUCAGCACGCGCCUUUUG
This 613-nucleotide ribosomal RNA is filed under the name Russula emetica. RNAcentral describes it as "partial 28S ribosomal RNA". It matches the Rfam family "Eukaryotic large subunit ribosomal RNA", at positions 1 to 613 of the family's 3401-position model. RNAcentral also lists the same sequence under 1 other name. Lineage: Eukaryota; Fungi; Basidiomycota; Agaricomycetes; Russulales; Russulaceae. The record is from RNAcentral.